This is a small nucleolar RNA of Saccostrea cuccullata (small rock oyster), 77 nucleotides long. RefSeq annotates it as small nucleolar RNA SNORD34. The record is from RefSeq and is a predicted model, not a curated record. NCBI's taxonomy places the organism in Eukaryota, Metazoa, Mollusca, Bivalvia, Ostreida, Ostreidae. The transcript has a single exon.
AGAUUUUGAUGAUGAUCCACUUUCUUACCUACAUUGUAUGAAAGAAAGAUGAUUGAAUUUGAUUGGCUGAAAAAUCU